AACGAUGAAGCACUCUGCUUGCAGAGUGCGGAAGAGUGGCGAACGGGUGAGUAACACGUGGGGAACCUGCCCAUAAGAGGGGGAUAACAUCCGGAAACGGGUGCUAAUACCGCAUAGGUGAUCAUAGCGCAUGCUUAGAUCAUUAAAGAUGGCUUCGGCUAUCGCUUAUGGAUGGCCCCGCGGCGUAUUAGCUAGUUGGUAAGGUAAUGGCUUACCAAGGCAGUGAUACGUAGCCGACCUGAGAGGGUGAUCGGCCACACUGGGACUGAGACACGGCCCAGACUCCUACGGGAGGCAGCAGUAGGGAAUCUUCCACAAUGGGCGAAAGCCUGAUGGAGCAAUGCCGCGUGAGUGAAGAAGGUCUUCGGAUCGUAAAGCUCUGUUGUUAGAGAAGAACAAGAGGUGUAGUAACUGGCACCUCCUUGACGGUAUCUAACCAGAAAGUCACGGCUAACUACGUGCCAGCAGCCGCGGUAAUACGUAGGUGACAAGCGUUGUCCGGAUUUAUUGGGCGUAAAGCGAGCGCAGGCGGUCUUUUAAGUCUGAUGUGAAAGCCCACGGCUCAACCGUGGAUGGUCAUUGGAAACUGGAAGACUUGAAUGCAGAAGAGGAAAGUGGAAUUCCAUGUGUAGCGGUGAAAUGCGUAGAUAUAUGGAGGAACACCAGUGGCGAAGGCGACUUUCUGGUCUGUAAUUGACGCUGAGGCUCGAAAGCGUGGGGAGCGAACAGGAUUAGAUACCCUGGUAGUCCACGCCGUAAACGAUGAGUGCUAAGUGUUGGAGGGUUUCCGCCCUUCAGUGCUGGAGCUAACGCAUUAAGCACUCCGCCUGGGGAGUACGGCCGCAAGGCUGA
Molecule: ribosomal RNA, 852 nt
Filed under: Alkalibacterium putridalgicola
Lineage: Bacteria; Bacillati; Bacillota; Bacilli; Lactobacillales; Carnobacteriaceae
Description: bacterial SSU rRNA
Rfam family: Bacterial small subunit ribosomal RNA
Source: RNAcentral